GUGGUGUGGACGUUUAUUGGGCCUAAAGCAUCCGUAGCUGGCUGAACAAGUCCCCUGUUAAACCCACCGAAUUAAUCGUUGGAUUGCGGGGGAUACUGCUUGGCUAGGGGACGAGAGAGGCAGACGGUAUUUUCGGGGUAGGGGUGAAAUCCUAUAAUCCCGGGAAGACCACCAGUGGCGAAGGCUGUCGGCUAGA
RNAcentral lists this ribosomal RNA (196 nucleotides) under uncultured crenarchaeote. RNAcentral's name for it is "partial 16S ribosomal RNA". It matches the Rfam family "Archaeal small subunit ribosomal RNA", at positions 488 to 684 of the family's 1478-position model. The record is from RNAcentral. Lineage: Archaea; Thermoproteati; Thermoproteota.